This 456-nucleotide ribosomal RNA is filed under the name uncultured bacterium. Its description in RNAcentral is "bacterial SSU rRNA". It matches the Rfam family "Bacterial small subunit ribosomal RNA", at positions 340 to 786 of the family's 1533-position model. The record is from RNAcentral.
UACGGAAGGCAGCAGUGGGGAAUAUUGCACAAUGGGCGAAAGCCUGAUGCAGCUAUGCCGCGUGUAUGAAGAAGGCCUUAGGGUUGUAAAGUACUUUCAUCGGGGAGGAAAAAACAAAACUAAUAAUUUUAUUUCUUGACGUUACCCGAAAAAGAAGCACCGGCUAACUCCGUGCCAGCAGCCGCGGUAAUACGGAGGGUGCUAGCGUUAAUCAGAAUUACUGGGCGUAAAGAGCACGUAGGUGGUUUUUUUAAGUCAGAUGUGAAAUCCCUGGGCUUAACCUAGGAACUGCAUUUUGAAACUGAAAUACUAGAGUAUCGUAGAGGGAGGUAGAAUUCUAGGUGUAGCGGUGAAAUGCGUAGAUAUCUGGAGGAAUACCUGUGGCGAAAGUGGCCUCCUAAACGAAUACUGACACUGAGGUGCGAAAGCGUGGGGAGCAAACAGGGAUUAGAUACC